AUAAAGGAAAGACCCUAUCAGAAAUGCUUCCCGUUGCCUGUGUGAGGUAGGCACUGUCAGGACACAAGAGGAACUCUGGGAAUGCAGACACACUUGCCAACAACUUCUGCAGUCAGUCGAUCCAGCCAGAACACUUUGCUUCAUUUUCUGGCCACAAACUUUUUCAGUACAGACAUCCCACGCUUAAUUGAGACUUGCCUGGAGCCCAGAACCUCUUUCCCUGAACAGUGUAGAGAAGAAACGGAGAGAAGAGGCCGAGGAAGGGGCAUCAGGAAAAAGAAAAGAACACCCGUGCCAAGAACUUCCUGGAAACUGCUGCACAGUGGGAUUGAAACCACAUGCAAGCUCACGCUGCUGGCCCCGAGUGGAGCUUCCUCCCAGAUGUGACCAUCUCUUGUCCCCAUGCUCAGUCCACCCUCUCUUGGGCUUGGAAUGAGAACUGAAGAAUUCUUAUGAGUUGGGUGCACGGCCGUAAUAAAGUUGAGGUAUCCCAGACUGCAGCUGGAGAAGAGAAGGUAUCGUUUGACUAUUGGCUUAACAGGAUUUGAAGGCACCAGCAUGAUAUCUGUUCUUCAAUGAGGAAGGGACCCGCCCAGCUGAGUGCGGCUCAGCACAUGACUGAACGUCAGAAGAUGUGCCAGAGCAGACGGUAUUUGAUCGGUAGUCUAGUGGUGUCUGCUGGAGCCGAGGGCAAGUCCAUCCGGAGGAUGCUUCCGGAGAAAAGGAAAUAAAGCAACAUCAGUGUGCAAGGAAGGCAAUUUUUUUUUUGAAGCAGAGUUCAGUCUUUAAAACCCACAAUUAGCCUGCUUUCUUUCAGCCUAGAAAGUCAUAUUUAGCUGCUCUCUGCCACCUGCACACACAGUACCUGUCAUUAAGCUUCCCUUCUCUCUACUGUAGAGUCAGAAACAGCCACUCCUGCCAAUUACCCAGUGGUACAAGGAGGCAUGUGAUUUACAUGCAUGUCUCUUCCUUUUCCCGAAGUUUCUGUCAUCAUCCCUAUUUUAAUCUUGGAAACGGGGCUGAAGCGUUUAAGUCAUUAGACCCGCAGCUGCUGUGCAGCACAGCACAGAUGUGAACCCGAGUUGGCCUCGCUUCCACCCACAAGUGUCUCUGCUCCACUCUCCAGGAAAGGAGCAGGAGCAGUGAGUCCCUCUCACACGGCAGCCCCUCUUGGGCUCUUUCUCAGUCUUCCAUUUCCACUGUUCCUUGUUUGCCUAGUCAGCUGAUGCAAUCUCAGUGUGCACACGUGACAAGAGGCACCUGGCAUGUGGGAAGACAGAUAAUUAAGAUCCUUUCCACCCCCCCUGUUCUCUUUAGUCAGACAAACAGCAUCUAAUGAAGCUCACUGACAUCUGUUAUGGUCCUGUGGGAAGGUACGGUGCUCACACACCCAUUUCACAGAUCAGCUGGGCACGCAGAGGAUGGAAGAACAGAACUACUGAAAACAAAUAGGAAGAAAAACCCCAAUACUCUGUUCCACUGGUCUGUAAACGCUUGCUCAUCUAGAUCACCCCUGAGAUAAAGCUAACUAUUCUACUAAUUUAUGGGGAAAGGACCACUUCAGUAUUUUCCAGAAAGACAAAUUAUCUGAAAUUACCAUAUUUCUCAAGACACUUUUGAUGUUCUCUUACAAAACAAAUAAUGCAUACUUUAAAAAAGUUUCACUUAUGUUUAUUUAGCAUGUAUGUGCAUGCGUAUGCAUGUCUGCAGGCUUGUGUGGGAGACAGCUUUCCCCUCCCACCAUGUGGAUUCCAGGGGUUGAACCCAGGUCCUCAGACUUGGCAGCAAACACCUCAAACUGCUGCGCCAUCUUGCCUGCCCGAUAAUAAUGAAUUCUUCAUCCUGAAGGGGGCUUUGAUAUGUAACCUUUGCAAAGAAAUACAGUAGCACUGAAGACCUUUAAAAGGCAGCUGAAAAUCUCCUUUACAAUUAGAAUACACACACACACACACACACACACACACACACACACACACACACACACACACACAGUACCCAGAGAUCUGCAGGGAUAGAUACACAGUGGCAUUUGGAAAAUAGAACAAUAAUACAGCUAUAGCACAGGAAUGCUGUCAAGUCAGCAUGGGCUGUUCUCUGGCUUCUAUGUCAAGGGAAGACCCCCACUUCUUGCUUGAGAGGGUCAAAAACACAUAUUUUCACUUGUCUGUAGUGAGGCUGAAUCAUUUGGAGUUCAGUCUCCUCAAUAAGAUGAGGUAGGGGCCUGAGUGACGACUCGGUGGUUAAGAGCUGUUCUUCCAGAGAAUCCCUGUUCAGUUCCCAGCACCCAUAUGGUGA
Long non-coding RNA from Peromyscus leucopus (white-footed mouse), 2295 nucleotides. RefSeq lists it as uncharacterized. The transcript has 4 exons. Lineage: Eukaryota; Metazoa; Chordata; Mammalia; Rodentia; Cricetidae. The record is from RefSeq and is a predicted model, not a curated record.